AACGAACGCUGGCGGCAUGCCUAACACAUGCAAGUCGAACGAGACCUUCGGGUCUAGUGGCGCACGGGUGCGUAACGCGUGGGAACCUGCCCUUAGGUUCGGAAUAACUCCCCGAAAGGGGUGCUAAUACCGGGUAAUGUCUUCGGACCAAAGAUUUAUCGCCUUUGGAUGGGCCCGCGUUGGAUUAGCUAGUUGGUAGGGUAAAAGCCUACCAAGGCGACGAUCCAUAGCUGGUCUGAGAGGAUGAUCAGCCACACUGGGACUGAGACACGGCCCAGACUCCUACGGGAGGCAGCAGUGGGGAAUAUUGGACAAUGGGCGAAAGCCUGAUCCAGCAAUGCCGCGUGAGUGAUGAAGGCCUUAGGGUUGUAAAGCUCUUUUAACCGGGAUGAUAAUGACAGUACCGGGAGAAUAAGCUCCGGCUAACUCCGUG
RNAcentral lists this ribosomal RNA (433 nucleotides) under uncultured bacterium. Its description in RNAcentral is "partial 16S ribosomal RNA". It matches the Rfam family "Bacterial small subunit ribosomal RNA", at positions 29 to 507 of the family's 1533-position model. The record is from RNAcentral.